CAGAAUUUAGUUUAUUUAAAAUAGUGGCUUUGGAAGUUACAGAUGGGGUUCCUUUUUCUGA
This 61-nucleotide transfer RNA is filed under the name Kaylathalia klovstadi. RNAcentral's name for it is "tRNA-Pro". The record is from RNAcentral. Lineage: Eukaryota; Metazoa; Arthropoda; Collembola; Entomobryomorpha; Isotomidae.